This 429-nucleotide ribosomal RNA is filed under the name Chloroflexota bacterium. Its description in RNAcentral is "Chloroflexi bacterium partial 16S ribosomal RNA". It matches the Rfam family "Bacterial small subunit ribosomal RNA", at positions 355 to 776 of the family's 1533-position model. Lineage: Bacteria; Bacillati; Chloroflexota. The record is from RNAcentral.
UGGGGAAUAUUGCACAAUGGGCGCAAGCCUGAUGCAGCCAUGCCGCGUGUAUGAAGAAGGCCUUCGGGUUGUAAAGUACUUUCAGCGGGGAGGAAGGGAGUAAAGUUAAUACCUUUGCUCAUUGACGUUACCCGCAGAAGAAGCACCGGCUAACUCCGUGCCAGCAGCCGCGGUAAUACGGAGGGUGCAAGCGUUAAUCGGAAUUACUGGGCGUAAAGCGCACGCAGGCGGUCUGUCAAGUCGGAUGUGAAAUCCCCGGGCUCAACCUGGGAACUGCAUUCGAAACUGGCAGGCUAGAGUCUUGUAGAGGGGGGUAGAAUUCCAGGUGUAGCGGUGAAAUGCGUAGAGAUCUGGAGGAAUACCGGUAGCGAAGGCGGCCCCCUGGACAAAGACUGACGCUCAGGUGCGAAAGCGUGGGGAGCAAACAGG